This 381-nucleotide ribosomal RNA is filed under the name uncultured eukaryote. RNAcentral describes it as "SSU rRNA". It matches the Rfam family "Eukaryotic small subunit ribosomal RNA", at positions 587 to 969 of the family's 1831-position model. The record is from RNAcentral.
AGCUCCAAUAGCGUAUAUUAAAGUUGUUGCAGUUAAAAAGCUCGUAGUUGGAUUUCUGGUAGGAGCGACCGUGCCGAACUUGAUUGUUCGAGUAUUGUGUUGUCUUCAGCCAUCCUCGUGGAGAACUUUUCUAACAUUAACUUGUUGGGAUUGGGACCCGCGUCGUUUACUGUGAAAAAAUUAGAGUGUUUAAAGCAGGCAUUAGCUUGAAUACAUUAGCAUGGAAUAAUAAGAUAGGACUUUGGUACUAUUUUGUUGGUUUGCAUACCAAAUUAAUGAUCAACAGGAACAGUUUGAGGAUAUUCGUAUGAACAUGUCAGAGGUGAAAUUCUUGGAUUUUGAUCAGACGAACUACUGCGAAAGCAUUUAUCAAGGAUGUUU